CUCAUAUUGAACGCUGGCGGCAGGCCUAACACAUGCAAGUCGAACGGUAACAGGAAACAGCUUGCUGUUUCGCUGACGAGUGGCGGACGGGUGAGUAAUGUCUGGGAAACUGCCUGAUGGAGGGGGAUAACUACUGGAAACGGUAGCUAAUACCGCAUAACGUCGCAAGACCAAAGAGGGGGACCUUAGGGCCUCUUGCCAUCGGAUGUGCCCAGAUGGGAUUAGCUAGUAGGUGGGGUAAAGGCUCACCUAGGCGACGAUCCCUAGCUGGUCUGAGAGGAUGACCAGCCACACUGGAACUGAGACACGGUCCAGACUCCUACGGGAGGCAGCAGUGGGGAAUAUUGCACAAUGGGCGCAAGCCUGAUGCAGCCAUGCCGCGUGUAUGAAGAAGGCCUUCGGGUUGUAAAGUACUUUCAGCGGGGAGGAAGGGAGUAAAGUUAAUACCUUUGCUCAUUGACGUUACCCGCAGAAGAAGCACCGGCUAACUCCGUGCCAGCAGCCGCGGUAAUACGGAGGGUGCAAGCGUUAAUCGGAAUUACUGGGCGUAAAGCGCACGCAGGCGGUUUGUUAAGUCAGAUGUGAAAUCCCCGGGCUCAACCUGGGAACUGCAUCUGAUACUGGCAAGCUUGAGUCUCGUAGAGGGGGGUAGAAUUCCAGGUGUAGCGGUGAAAUGCGUAGAGAUCUGGAGGAAUACCGGUGGCGAAGGCGGCCCCCUGGACGAAGACUGACGCUCAGGUGCGAAAGCGUGGGGAGCAAAACAGGAUUAGAUACCCUGGUAGUCCACGCCGUAAACGAUGUCGACUUGGAGGUUGUGCCCUUGAGGCGUGGCUUCCGGAGCUAACGCGUUAAGUCGACCGCCUGGGGAGUACGGCCGCAAGGUUAAAACUCAAAUGAAUUGACGGGGGCCCGCACAAGCGGUGGAGCAUGUGGUUUAAUUCGAUGCAACGCGAAGAACCUUACCUGGUCUUGACAUCCACGGAAGUUUUCAGAGAUGAGAAUGUGCCUUCGGGAACCGUGAGACAGGUGCUGCAUGGCUGUCGUCAGCUCGUGUUGUGAAAUGUUGGGUUAAGUCCCGCAACGAGCGCAACCCUUAUCCUUUGUUGCCAGCGGUCCGGCCGGGAACUCAAAGGAGACUGCCAGUGAUAAACUGGAGGAAGGUGGGGAUGACGUCAAGUCAUCAUGGCCCUUACGACCAGGGCUACACACGUGCUACAAUGGCGCAUACAAAGAGAAGCGACCUCGCGAGAGCAAGCGGACCUCAUAAAGUGCGUCGUAGUCCGGAUUGGAGUCUGCAACUCGACUCCAUGAAGUCGGAAUCGCUAGUAAUCGUGGAUCAGAAUGCCACGGUGAAUACGUUCCCGGGCCUUGUACACACCGCCCGUCACACCAUGGGAGUGGGUUGCAAAAGAAGUAGGUAGCUUAACCUUCGGGAGGGCGCUUACCACUUUGUGAUUC
This 1458-nucleotide ribosomal RNA is filed under the name uncultured organism. RNAcentral describes it as "SSU rRNA". It matches the Rfam family "Bacterial small subunit ribosomal RNA". The record is from RNAcentral.